This 465-nucleotide ribosomal RNA is filed under the name Vreelandella stevensii. Its description in RNAcentral is "partial 16S ribosomal RNA". It matches the Rfam family "Bacterial small subunit ribosomal RNA", at positions 338 to 795 of the family's 1533-position model. Lineage: Bacteria; Pseudomonadati; Pseudomonadota; Gammaproteobacteria; Oceanospirillales; Halomonadaceae. The record is from RNAcentral.
CCUACGGGAGGCAGCAGUGGGGAAUAUUGGACAAUGGGCGAAAGCCUGAUCCAGCCAUGCCGCGUGUGUGAAGAAGGCCUUCGGGUUGUAAAGCACUUUCAGUGGGGAAGAAAGCCUUGGGGCUAAUACCCUCGAGGAAGGACAUCACCCACAGAAGAAGCACCGGCUAACUCCGUGCCAGCAGCCGCGGUAAUACGGAGGGUGCGAGCGUUAAUCGGAAAUACUGGGCGUAAAGCGCGCGUAGGCGGUCUGAUAAGCCGGUUGUGAAAGCCCCGGGCUCAACCUGGGAACGGCAUCCGGAACUGUCAGGCUAGAGUGCAGGAGAGGAAGGUAGAAUUCCCGGUGUAGCGGUGAAAUGCGUAGAGAUCGGGAGGAAUACCAGUGGCGAAGGCGGCCUUCUGGACUGACACUGACGCUGAGGUGCGAAAGCGUGGGUAGCAAACAGGAUUAGAUACCCGGGUAGUC